CAGGCAAUCAAGGCUUUAAAUGCGUGGAUUUAUCAUCACCUCAAAUCGCCUGUCACUGUGAUGGAACAAAAAUAGAAAGUUGGGCUAAUAUCUUCCUGCUAGCAUGUUUCCAUCUGUGAGUUUGAUCAAAGCAACUUUAUCUGCGAAAUUUUGAAGAAUCAGCUUCAUCUCCACUUGGCAGCAUGUGGUAAAUGAAGGAAAUCCCAUCUUCCCAGAAUUCAGCUAGGAUCCAGAAGUGAUGCUGUUACGUGACGUCUUCAACCUCCCUCCCUCUGCCCAUCUCAGGGACCUCUCCAGAAGCCAGUCCCAAGAGUGGCAUUGGUUAGCAUAUCUCAAAUACAGUGGGAGAAGCCUCUUAGCUCAGCUCCAGUUAUUUCUCUAUUGUAGAAAACCAAGAGAGAGAUGAAUAAGGAAUGAAAACAUACUCCACAUGGACUCAAUAAAUCUUGGGUGAAAUGAUGCUGUCUGACAAGGUAAAUAAAAAAUGCAGCACUCAAGCACCAG
RNAcentral lists this long non-coding RNA (504 nucleotides) under Homo sapiens (human). RNAcentral's name for it is "HSALNT0250707". Lineage: Eukaryota; Metazoa; Chordata; Mammalia; Primates; Hominidae. The record is from RNAcentral.